Molecule: long non-coding RNA, 265 nt
Organism: Motacilla alba alba
Lineage: Eukaryota; Metazoa; Chordata; Aves; Passeriformes; Motacillidae
Exons: 3
Source: RefSeq, a predicted model, not a curated record
CCGGCCCAGCAAGCGCCUUUGGGGCGGGAAGGCACGCUGAGGAACGCUGCCUUACAGCCGCCAUGGUCUCUCUUCUCCAGCAAAUAUACUUCAGAAAAAAUGGUCCCUGUGGUGUGUUUUGAAGGUGGGUGCAUUCAGGUCAGGAUGAACCAAGGUUGAAGGCACCUCAAUAGAAAUGAAACAGAGAUCUGCUGCCACCUUCUGACCACUUGGAAAGCCUUCCAUGUCCUGAGCACAGCAGACAGCGCUGUGGAACAGAGGUGGC